Molecule: ribosomal RNA, 1444 nt
Filed under: uncultured organism
Description: SSU rRNA
Rfam family: Bacterial small subunit ribosomal RNA
Source: RNAcentral
CUCAGGAUGAACGCUAGCUACAGGCUUAACACAUGCAAGUCGAGGGGCAGCAUUUUAGUUUGCUUGCAAACUGAAGAUGGCGACCGGCGCACGGGUGAGUAACACGUAUCCAACCUGCCGAUAACUCCGGGAUAGCCUUUCGAAAGAAAGAUUAAUACCGGAUGGCAUACGAAUAUCGCAUGAUAUUUUUAUUAAAGAAUUUCGGUUAUCGAUGGGGAUGCGUUCCAUUAGUUUGUUGGCGGGGUAACGGCCCACCAAGACUACGAUGGAUAGGGGUUCUGAGAGGAAGGUCCCCCACAUUGGAACUGAGACACGGUCCAAACUCCUACGGGAGGCAGCAGUGAGGAAUAUUGGUCAAUGGGCGAGAGCCUGAACCAGCCAAGUAGCGUGAAGGAUGAAGGCUCUAUGGGUCGUAAACUUCUUUUAUAUGGGAAUAAAGUUUUCCACGUGUGGAAUUUUGUAUGUACCAUAUGAAUAAGGAUCGGCUAACUCCGUGCCAGCAGCCGCGGUAAUACGGAGGAUCCGAGCGUUAUCCGGAUUUAUUGGGUUUAAAGGGAGCGUAGGUGGAUUGUUAAGUCAGUUGUGAAAGUUUGCGGCUCAACCGUAAAAUUGCAGUUGAAACUGGGAGUCUUGAGUACAGUAGAGGUGGGCGGAAUUCGUGGUGUAGCGGUGAAAUGCUUAGAUAUCACGAAGAACUCCGAUUGCGAAGGCAGCUCACUAGACUGUCACUGACACUGAUGCUCGAAAGUGUGGGUAUCAAACAGGAUUAGAUACCCUGGUAGUCCACACAGUAGACGAUGAAUACUCGCUGUUUGCGAUAUACAGUAAGCGGCCAAGCGAAAGCAUUAAGUAUUCCACCUGGGGAGUACGCCGGCAACGGUGAAACUCAAAGGAAUUGACGGGGGCCCGCACAAGCGGAGGAACAUGUGGUUUAAUUCGAUGAUACGCGAGGAACCUUACCCGGGCUUAAAUUGCAACAGAAUAUAUUGGAAACAGUAUAGCCGUAAGGCUGUUGUGAAGGUGCUGCAUGGUUGUCGUCAGCUCGUGCCGUGAGGUGUCGGCUUAAGUGCCAUAACGAGCGCAACCCUUAUCUUUAGUUACUAACAGGUCAUGCUGAGGACUCUAGAGAGACUGCCGUCGUAAGAUGUGAGGAAGGUGGGGAUGACGUCAAAUCAGCACGGCCCUUACGUCCGGGGCUACACACGUGUUACAAUGGGGGGUACAGAAGGCGGCUACCUGGUGACAGGAUGCUAAUCCCAAAAACCUCUCUCAGUUCGGAUCGAAGUCUGCAACCCGACUUCGUGAAGCUGGAUUCGCUAGUAAUCGCGCAUCAGCCAUGGCGCGGUGAAUACGUUCCCGGGCCUUGUACACACCGCCCGUCAAGCCAUGAAAGCCGGGGGUACCUGAAGUACGUAACCGCAAGGAGCGUCCUAGGGUAAAACUG